CUUAAGUGAAGAGUUUGAUCCUGGCUCAGAUUGAACGCUGGCGGCAUGCCUAACACAUGCAAGUCGAACGGCAGCACAGCAGUAGCAAUACUGUGGGUGGCGAGUGGCGGACGGGUGAGUAAUGCAUCGGGACCUGCCCAGACGUGGGGGAUAA
Molecule: ribosomal RNA, 154 nt
Filed under: Dyella sp. OK004
Lineage: Bacteria; Pseudomonadati; Pseudomonadota; Gammaproteobacteria; Lysobacterales; Rhodanobacteraceae
Description: partial 16S rRNA. Bacterial SSU
Rfam family: Bacterial small subunit ribosomal RNA
Source: RNAcentral